This 560-nucleotide ribosomal RNA is filed under the name uncultured bacterium. RNAcentral's name for it is "bacterial SSU rRNA". It matches the Rfam family "Bacterial small subunit ribosomal RNA", at positions 359 to 917 of the family's 1533-position model. The record is from RNAcentral.
GGAUUGAAAUGGGGGAACCCUGAUCCAGCCAUGCCGCGUGAGUGAAGAAGGCCUUCGGGUUGUAAAGCUCUUUUGGCCGGGAAGAAAGGGCCUCCUUGAAUACGGGGGGUUUUUGACGGUACCGGCAGAAUAAGCACCGGCUAACUACGUGCCAGCAGCCGCGGUAAUACGUAGGGUGCGAGCGUUAAUCGGAAUUACUGGGCGUAAAGCGUGCGUAGGCGGUUCGUUAUGUCUGCUGUGAAAUCCCCGGGCUCAACCUGGGAAUGGCAGUGGAAACUGGCGGGCUUGAGUGUGGCAGAGGGGGGUGGAAUUCCGCGUGUAGCAGUGAAAUGCGUAGAGAUGCGGAGGAACACCGAUGGCGAAGGCAGCCCCCUGGGCUGACACUGACGCUGAGGCACGAAAGCGUGGGGAGCAAACAGGAUUAGAUACCCUGGUAGUCCACGCCCUAAACGAUGAUCACUAGGUGUUGGAGAAGCGAUUUUCCAGUACCGAAGCUAACGCGUGAAGUGAUCCGCCUGGGGAGUACGGUCGCAAGAUUAAAACUCAAAGAAAUUGACGGA